GCCAUGCAGAGAGGCAGAAAAACCCAGCAACCAGCCCAAGAACCGCAAGCCAGGGAUCCUGCCAGCGGAUUCCUACCGGCCCAUCCUGAUGUCCUCACUGAACGCGGAUGGAUCACCAGGCUACAUCAACGCCGUCUUUGUCGACACCUACACAGACGAGGACAGACUCAUUAUCACCCAGCUGCCUUUCGCCACCACGACAGUGGAUUUCUGGGCUCUGGUGUGGGAUUACAC
Molecule: long non-coding RNA, 234 nt
Organism: Pogoniulus pusillus (Red-fronted tinkerbird)
Lineage: Eukaryota; Metazoa; Chordata; Aves; Piciformes; Lybiidae
Exons: 3
Source: RefSeq, a predicted model, not a curated record